GGUUGCGUGGCCCAGUGGUUAAGGCAUCUGCUUUACAAAUAAUGAGGAAGCUUCCUUUGGUAGCUAUUCUCUAAUCUGUUCGCAGAGGAUCGCAGGUUCGAGCCCUGCCGCGAUCA
Molecule: non-coding RNA, 116 nt
Organism: Rhypophila decipiens
Lineage: Eukaryota; Fungi; Ascomycota; Sordariomycetes; Sordariales; Naviculisporaceae
Source: the annotation of a GenBank genome assembly